This 64-nucleotide transfer RNA is filed under the name Duplodicodrilus acinctus. RNAcentral's name for it is "tRNA-Tyr". Lineage: Eukaryota; Metazoa; Annelida; Clitellata; Crassiclitellata; Megascolecidae. The record is from RNAcentral.
UACAAGGUGGUUGAGAACUAGACAAUAAACUGUAAAUUUAUAUACGGGUAAUACCCCCUUGUGU